UCCUACCAAACAAAAGAAAGUAUUAUAUAAGAUUAGUAUUCUCUUAACAUUACUAGCUAUAUGUUCCUGUUUAGUUGAGGAGGCAAAAAUAAAUGCGUAGCUGUAACCGGGAAAUAAAUAUUUGAUUUUUACUAAUUUUUCUCCUUGGACUUGAAUCAUCCUUCAUUAUGCACAAAGGGUGAGUGAGAGCAGUUGGUGUAGGAGUGAGGAGGUGUUUCUGGCUGACUGGAUCACGCACCCCCGCCAUCGCUGCUUUCACAACGGGAGCUGUUUCAUAAGGGAUUCCCGGCUAGAACUCUAAAAUAGAGUCAAAGUGGCUCAGGGCUGGAUAACGAGACAGAUGUGCGCAGACGCCCGCCUUGUUCAACACGAGGUCCCAGAGCGGGAGGAGACGCCCGUCUUCCCCGAGGACUUGCUUGAAGGGCCAACAGACCCCUGAUUCGACCGGUCGGUGGGCCCCGCCUGGAUCGUGCCAGGAACAGGCUGAUGUGACCAGUGGACACGUCUGACCCCUGUCUGGGCAGGGUGCUUGCCUCCUGUCACCUGGACGGAUGGACGCUGCUGCCGCUCUGUGACCUGCUUGCUCUGUGACAGACUACGUCCAGCUCGGAGCCCCCGGCCAGCGUUGGCCCUGACCGUGCCACCGUGGGAUUUCUGCGAGUUUCCUCUAGAACAAGGGAACUAGUGCUGGGACAGCAAGCUGCCAAGGAGGACCCGCCCAAGCCCACAUCACCCGGAAAUCAUUUCGCCAGAAAUAUUCUGCGUGUAUAAGUGCUGAGCUCAGGUUAUGCCAACAAAUGAGUUUGAAACCGACUUUCUGAUCGCAGAGGAUUUGGGUUUAUGUUUUCUGCAUGAGACCUCAUCGGUGAAGACACACCCGCCGCCCUGCUCCCGGGGCUCAGUCGCCCCCUGCCCAGGCGGGGCAGGUGCGGCCGUCCUGUUGGCCUGGAGCCCAGCUGCCUUCCAGAACGCCGACUGCGUGGACUUGGACGUCUACGCUGCUUGUGGCGGGCUUCUGUCACUUGGCACCGAGUCUCUGAGACGGAGCCACGCUGUUCCUACUGCGGAGCGGAAUUUACCGUGUGCACAAACCGCAGCCCCUUUACACUCUCCGUUCUCAUGAUGGGCGUCGGGCCUCUUAAUUUUGAUAAAGUGCAACUUACCAUUUUUUUUUCA
Long non-coding RNA from Suricata suricatta (meerkat), 1176 nucleotides. RefSeq lists it as uncharacterized. The record is from RefSeq and is a predicted model, not a curated record. The transcript is spliced from 5 exons. NCBI's taxonomy places the organism in Eukaryota, Metazoa, Chordata, Mammalia, Carnivora, Herpestidae.